GUAGGUGAACCUGCGGAGGGAUCAUUACAAGAACGCCCGGGCUUCGGCCUGGUUAUUCAUAACCCUUUGUUGUCCGACUCUGUUGCCUCCGGGGCGACCCUGCCUUCGGGCGGGGGCUCCGGGUGGACACUUCAAACUCUUGCGUAACUUUGCAGUCUGAGUAAAAAUAUAAAUUAUUUAAAACUUUCAACAACGGAUCUCUUGGUUCCG
RNAcentral lists this unclassified non-coding RNA (210 nucleotides) under rhizosphere metagenome. RNAcentral's name for it is "partial ribosomal RNA internal transcribed spacer region". The record is from RNAcentral.